AGAGUUUGAUCCUGGCUCAGAGCGAACGCUGGCGGCAGGCUUAACACAUGCAAGUCGAGCGGGCGUAGCAAUACGUCAGCGGCAGACGGGUGAGUAACACGUGGGAACGUACCUUUUGGUUCGGAACAACACAGGGAAACUUGUGCUAAUACCGGAUAAGCCCUUACGGGGAAAGAUUUAUCGCCGAAAGAUCGGCCCGCGUCUGAUUAGCUAGUUGGUGAGGUAAUGGCUCACCAAGGCGACGAUCAGUAGCUGGUCUGAGAGGAUGAUCAGCCACAUUGGGACUGAGACACGGCCCAAACUCCUACGGGAGGCAGCAGUGGGGAAUAUUGGACAAUGGGCGCAAGCCUGAUCCAGCCAUGCCGCGUGAGUGAUGAAGGCCCUAGGGUUGUAAGCUCUUUGUGCAGGAGGAUAUGACGGUACGCAGAAUAAGCCCGG
Molecule: ribosomal RNA, 438 nt
Filed under: uncultured bacterium
Lineage: Bacteria
Description: bacterial SSU rRNA
Rfam family: Bacterial small subunit ribosomal RNA
Source: RNAcentral